UCUUUAUGGCCAGCUUGUUCUCAGUAAAGGACCAUCAUUCGGUUUGGAUGAUGAUAUAGCUAAAGAAGCGAGUAAAGCAGAUCGUAACAAAAGAAAUAUGAGAGAGCUUGGAAUAUAAUACUUUUGAGUUUCCGUUCAGCUCUGAAAAGAUGGUAACUACAUUGCACGUUGGGGCAGAGUAGGCUGGAGUUCCUGUACAAAACUGUGUGCUUAUUGCUGGAGGCCAAUCUGGUGUAUCUGAAUCUUAAUGAAUAGUCAUGCCAUGUAUCGUUCUGCGGAGCAGAUAGGAAAAUUUGAGCUUCAUAUCAUGGAGGGAGAGUUUGCUGAUCCUCAAAUUGUAGUUAUGCUUGGUGAA
Molecule: long non-coding RNA, 355 nt
Organism: Papaver somniferum (opium poppy)
Lineage: Eukaryota; Viridiplantae; Streptophyta; Magnoliopsida; Ranunculales; Papaveraceae
Exons: 3
Source: RefSeq, a predicted model, not a curated record